CACGUAGGGCGCGAGCGUUGUCCGGAAUUAUUGGGCGUAAAGAGCUCGUAGGCGGCCUGUUGCGUCCGCUGUGAAAGCCCGGGGCUUAACCCCGGGUCUGCAGUGGAUACGGGCAGGCUAGAGUGCGGUAGGGGAGAUUGGAAUUCCUGGUGUAGCGGUGGAAUGCGCAGAUAUCAGGAGGAACACCGAUGGCGAAGGCAGAUCGCUGGGCCGUAACUGACGCUGAGGAGCGAAAGCAUGGGGAGCGAACAGG
RNAcentral lists this ribosomal RNA (253 nucleotides) under uncultured bacterium. RNAcentral's name for it is "partial 16S ribosomal RNA". It matches the Rfam family "Bacterial small subunit ribosomal RNA", at positions 524 to 776 of the family's 1533-position model. The record is from RNAcentral.